GACGAACGCUGGCGGCGUGCCUAAUACAUGCAAGUUGAGCGAUGAAGAUUGGUGCUUGCACCAAUUUGAAGAGCAGCGAACGGGUGAGUAACGCGUGGGGAAUCUGCCUUUGAGCGGGGGACAACAUUUGGAAACGAAUGCUAAUACCGUAUAAUAACUUUAAACAUAAGUUUUAAGUUUGAAAGAUGCAAUUGCAUCACUCAAAGAUGAUCCCGCGUUGUAUUAGCUAGUUGGUGAGGUAAAGGCUCACCAAGGCGAUGAUACAUAGCCGACCUGAGAGGGUGAUCGGCCACAUUGGGACUGAGACACGGCCCAAACUCCUACGGGAGGCAGCAGUAGGGAAUCUUCGGCAAUGGACGAAAGUCUGACCGAGCAACGCCGCGUGAGUGAAGAAGGUUUUCGGAUCGAAAAACUCUGUUGGUAGAGAAGAACGUUGGUGAGAGUGGAAAGCUCAUCAAGUGACGGUAACUACCCAGAAAGGGACGGCUAACUACGUG
Molecule: ribosomal RNA, 497 nt
Filed under: uncultured bacterium
Lineage: Bacteria
Description: partial 16S ribosomal RNA
Rfam family: Bacterial small subunit ribosomal RNA
Source: RNAcentral